Molecule: ribosomal RNA, 380 nt
Filed under: Anoscopus limicola
Lineage: Eukaryota; Metazoa; Arthropoda; Insecta; Hemiptera; Cicadellidae
Description: partial large subunit ribosomal RNA
Source: RNAcentral
UGGCUGCAGUAUUUUAACUGUACAAAGGUAGCAUAAUAAAUAGUUUCUUAAUUGGGAGCUUGUAUGAAAGGGUUUAUGAAUUAUAAUUUUUAUUUUAUUUAUUUUUAGAAUUUUAUUUCUAAGUAAAAAAGCUUAGUUUUUUUUUUGGGACGAAAAGACCCUAUAGAACUUAAUUGAUUUAAUUUAUUAUUUAUUUUUUGUUAAAUAACAUUAAUUUAAUAUCUAAAUUUAUUUGAUUGGGGCGAUUAUAAAGAAUAAAAAAACUUUAUUUUUUUAUUUCAUUUGUUUAUGAUUUGUUGAUCCAAUGUUUUUGAUUAAAAGAUUUAGUUACCUUGGGGAUAACAGCGUAAUUUUAAUGGGGAGUUCAUAUUUAUAUUAAA